This 248-nucleotide ribosomal RNA is filed under the name uncultured Comamonadaceae bacterium. RNAcentral describes it as "partial 16S ribosomal RNA". It matches the Rfam family "Bacterial small subunit ribosomal RNA", at positions 356 to 596 of the family's 1533-position model. The record is from RNAcentral. Lineage: Bacteria; Pseudomonadati; Pseudomonadota; Betaproteobacteria; Burkholderiales; Comamonadaceae.
GGGGAAUUUUGGACAAUGGGCGAAAGCCUGAUCCAGCAAUGCCGCGUGCAGGACGAAGGCCUUCGGGUUGUAAACUGCUUUUGUACGGAACGAAAAGGUAGCUCCUAAUACGAGCUGCCGAUGACGGUACCGUAAGAAUAAGCACCGGCUAACUACGUGCCAGCAGCCGCGGUAAUACGUAGGGGGCGAGCGUUAAUCGGAAUUACUGGGCGUAAAGCGUGCGCAGGCGGGUUUGUAAGGUAGAUGUG